Molecule: ribosomal RNA, 467 nt
Filed under: uncultured bacterium
Lineage: Bacteria
Description: partial 16S ribosomal RNA
Rfam family: Bacterial small subunit ribosomal RNA
Source: RNAcentral
GACGAACGCUGGCGGCGUGCUUAACACAUGCGAGUCGAACGGAAAGGCUCCAGCUUGCUGGAGUACUCGAGUGGCGAACGGGUGAGUAACACGUGGGUAAUCUGCCCUGCACUCUGGGAUAAGCCUGGGAAACUGGGUCUAAUACUGGAUAUGACCUUUCUCCUUAUGGGGUUUGGUGGAAAGUUUUUCGGUGUAGGAUGAGCCCGCGGCCUAUCAGCUUGUUGGUGGGGUGAUGGCCUACCAAGGCGACGACGGGUAGCCGGCCUGAGAGGGUGAUCGGCCACAUUGGGACUGAGAUACGGCCCAGACUCCUACGGGAGGCAGCAGUGGGGAAUAUUGCACAAUGGGCGGAAGCCUGAUGCAGCGACGCCGCGUGAGGGAUGACGGCCUUCGGGUUGUAAACCUCUUUCAGCAGGGACGAAGCGUAAGUGACGUUACCUGCAGAAGAAGCACCGGCUAACUACGUG